AUUUGAAAACAAAAUAAACAUAAUUUAAAUAAUUUUACUUAUAUUUGUCAUAAGUACAACAUAUGGUCCAGAAUCCUUCCAUGCACACUAUAAUGAACAGUUAUACUCUACUCAUCCUGAUAUUUUUAUCUUUUUGAAGUGUAUCAUUGAACAACAGUCGGUGAAUUGCAUUGAGAUUCGUUACAUUGAUGAACAGGCACCCCAGUCAAUAAUUUAUAAUGAAAAACUUGAUUAUUUAUUUGAAAUGUGGGCAAAGUACUAGUCAGAAC
RNAcentral lists this long non-coding RNA (269 nucleotides) under Mytilus galloprovincialis (Mediterranean mussel). The record is from RNAcentral. Lineage: Eukaryota; Metazoa; Mollusca; Bivalvia; Mytilida; Mytilidae.